This is a long non-coding RNA of Ictalurus punctatus (channel catfish), 2408 nucleotides long. RefSeq lists it as uncharacterized. Lineage: Eukaryota; Metazoa; Chordata; Actinopteri; Siluriformes; Ictaluridae. The record is from RefSeq and is a predicted model, not a curated record. The transcript is spliced from 2 exons.
CGUCUCAGCCGGUCGACUGGUAGAUUUGUGGUAAAGUUCUUGAAUUGUAAAAUUCUAAUCAAAUUUGAUCUGAUCUGUUUCUUUUUAUCCAUCCAUGGAUGGAUGGAUCGAUGGAUGGAUGGAUGUUUCUUUUUAACGCUCUGCAGGAGUGGAGAGAUGGGGGAAAAUCUGGAUUUAAUCCUCGCUGUUUAAACUCCAGCCUCUGGACACACACACACACACACACACACACACACACACACACACACACACACACACACACCACACACACUGCUGCUUAAUGAAAAAUAGAAAAUGACUCCAAUCCGCCGUAAGCUGCUUUGCUUAAUCACGUUAAUGUGUAUUAUUAAACCGCCGAACACUCGCUGGCUUUAUUUCCAGAUGUUGUGAAGAAAAGCCUCAUUUUACUCACUUUCAAUCUCGCUUCAUUACACACCGCCGCUUCAAUACAAAUAAUAUAUCGAAUACAAACACGUCUUCAUUUUCCCUGUCUAAAAACAGUUCAGCUCUUGGUCUGUUUUUAAACUGAACAUCGACAGUGAAACGGCACUCGGUCAUUGUAUUAGCGCAGUCUUAAUUAUUAAACUAAUGCUUUUUAAAGUUAUCCUUUGAAUCGUGACGAAGCACCAUUUGGGGUUUUUUAUGCACCAAAGAUCUAAAUCGCAACCAAUAAGCUUGCAAAAAAGAGCUAAAAAACGUAUUUUACAAACUAUAGUGUUAGCAUUUUUAUUGAUUUUUUAGGAGCACAUGCAGCUAGAAGUAAGCUUUGUGAUCUCUUUUGAAGCUCAUGUAGAUAAUAUUACCAUGAUAGCCUUCUUUCAUCAUGCUAGGAUAAGAAAUAUAAUAGCAUCACAUGCUUUUGUUACCUCUAUGUUGAACUAGUGGGAUUGUAUUGCGAUCAAAGCGUGCAGGCUCUUUAUUAGUACCUAUAAUAAUGAAGGCUACAGCACGAGGCAGAGCGUUUCAUGGAACAACCUUUUACAAUUUCAAAAUAUUCGGGACUUGGACACAGUCUCGCUCUUUGAAAACUUUGAAAAUUUGUUUAGUUUGUUUGUUUCGGUAAGAGCGCCAUGUACCAUGUGGGCGGAGCCAAACAAAUAUUAACCAAUAAAUGAUAACUGGGCUAACAUAGAACCUUAUGAGGACAUUAUGUAUGAGUAAUGUGUCUGCUGUGAUAAUAGUUAAUCGUGCAUUUUACCACAUAAAAGCAGUGAAUUGGUGUUGAUUUAGAAAUAAAAGAGAAUACACACCCCAGAGUCAAGACGUGUUAGAGGCAGCUAUAUCUACACCAGUCUGGACACCUGGAUUUGGAGAUCAUCCCCCGCUCCUCUUCGCAGAACUGUUCUAGCUGGGAAAGAUUUCAUCAGGUUCUGCCUCAGAACUCCGUCUCCAUGUACUUGGCUCCGUUCAUCCUGCCCCGCAAUCUCUGCAGAUGACAAACAUCCCCACGACAUCAUUCUACCUCCACCAUGCCUCACAGUCGAGAUGGUGUUUUUAUUGUUAUUGUUGCCAAAAAGUUUUACUCUGAUUUCCUCCAUCUGACGACAAAAGCUUCUGCCAGUUUGUUGUCAGGUGUCUUUGUGCAAACUUCAUAUACCACUCCAGGUGGACCUUUUUGAGAACUGGCUUUCUUCUUUCCACCAUACAGGCCAGAUGUGUGCAAUAUCUUCUGAUAUUGGUGUGAUGCACAUGUGUACCUCUGUUGGAUGUAAAAUCCUGUAGAUCUUUCACCAAGAACACUUGCUUCCUGGUGGUCUCUCUGACCAAGUGUUUUUCUUUCUGAGUCAUCUAGAUUUGAUGGACACCCAGAUUUAUUUUGUAUUUUUUUGCAGACUCUGGGUGGAGCCAUGCACUUUCCACUUCUCAAUGAUGGACUUAACAAGCACUCUGGGGAAUCUUCAAAGCCUUGGAAAAUCUUUUUAUGUCCCUCACCUGAUGUUUACCUGCUCCUGGAGAUCACGCUGCUGCCUUUGUGUGGAUCUGCACAGCUGAUCAAAACAGCUGUUCUUAUUCAAGCUGUCGAUUUUAUGCAGAUGUUGAACAAAUGACGCGACUCUGUGACCAUGGAGGCAGCUGGUUAUUAUUAUUCCUGAGAUAUUGUUUAUCAAACCUAGUUAUUAAUGUUGUUCAUAUUUAAAUAAAGUUAGAAAUGUUUAUUAUUAGCUUUUCAAAUCAUUAAAGAGUGCGCAUUUAUUUAUUUUUUAAUCCGCUGUAACUUCACUAUUAACAUUCUGUCACAAUUCUUUCUCUUUUUCAUUUCCUGUGACAUGUUAUAUUUAAAUAACUACAUGGUUUCAAAAUGUGGUUUAAAAUAAAUCACUUUUUAAUCAGUUCGACGCUGAUUUUAUCCACAAGGAAAGAUUUCUCUUCAUGUGUGAGAUGAGAGCUUCAAAGUCCAGGCUCUUUUU